AGAGUUUGAUCAUGGCUCAGAGCGAACGCUGGCGGCGUGCUUAACACAUGCAAGUCGAGUGCGCGGUUGUAGCAAUACAACUGGCGCACGGCGCACGGGUGCGUAACACGUGGGUAAUCUGCCCUCUGAUGGGGAAUAACUCGCCGAAAGGCGAGCUAAUACCGCAUAACAUUCCUUGGACUCCGGUUCGAGGAUUCAAAGGCGUAAGUCGUCGGAGGUGGAGCCCGCGCACGAUUAGCUAGUUGGUAGGGUAAAGGCCUACCAAGGCUAUGAUCGUUAGCUGGUCUGAGAGGAUGGCCAGCCACACUGGAACUGAGACACGGUCCAGACUCCUACGGGAGGCAGCAGUGGGGAAUCUUGCACAAUGGGCGAAAGCCUGAUGCAGCGACGCCGCGUGGGGGAUGAAGCUUCUCGGAGUGUAAACCCCUUUCGACCGGGACGAAUACCUCGCAAGAGGGGUGACGGUACCGGUAUAAGAAGCCCCGGCUAACUACGUGCCAGCAGCCGCGGUAAGACGUAGGGGGCCAGCGUUGCUCGGAAUUACUGGGUGUAAAGGGUUCGUAGGCGGUGUGGCAAGUCGGGAGUGAAAUCUCUGGGCUCAACUCAGGGGCUGCUUCCGAAACUGCCGUGCUAGAGUGUGGGAGAGGCGCGUGGAAUUGCAGGUGUAGCGGUGAAAUGCGUAGAUAUCUGCAGGAACACCCGUGGCGAAAGCGGCGCGCUGGACCACUACUGACGCUGAGGAACGAAAGCUAGGGGAGCAAACAGGAUUAGAUACCCUAGUAGUCC
RNAcentral lists this ribosomal RNA (786 nucleotides) under uncultured bacterium. RNAcentral's name for it is "bacterial SSU rRNA". It matches the Rfam family "Bacterial small subunit ribosomal RNA", at positions 8 to 796 of the family's 1533-position model. The record is from RNAcentral.